UGAGGAAUAUUGGUCAAUGGGCGAGAGCCUGAACCAGCCAAGUAGCGUGCAGGAUGACGGCCCUAUGGGUUGUAAACUGCUUUUAUAUGGGAAUAAAGUGAGGGACGUGUCCCUUAUUGCAUGUACCAUACGAAUAAGGACCGGCUAAUUCCGUGCCAGCAGCCGCGGUAAUACGGAAGGUUCAGGCGUUAUCCGGAUUUAUUGGGUUUAAAGGGAGCGUAGGCUGUUUGUUAAGCGUGUUGUGAAAUGUAAGAGCUCAACUUUUAGAUUGCAGCGCGAACUGGCAGACUUGAGUGCGCACAACGUAGGCGGAAUUCAUGGUGUAGCGGUGAAAUGCUUAGAUAUCAUGACGAACUCCGAUUGCGAAGGCAGCUUACGGGAGCGCAACUGACGCUAAAGCUCGAAGGUGCGGGUAUCGAACAGG
This 424-nucleotide ribosomal RNA is filed under the name Verrucomicrobiota bacterium. Its description in RNAcentral is "Verrucomicrobia bacterium partial 16S ribosomal RNA". It matches the Rfam family "Bacterial small subunit ribosomal RNA", at positions 355 to 776 of the family's 1533-position model. Lineage: Bacteria; Pseudomonadati; Verrucomicrobiota. The record is from RNAcentral.